This 396-nucleotide unclassified non-coding RNA is filed under the name soil metagenome. RNAcentral's name for it is "partial contains 5.8S ribosomal RNA, internal transcribed spacer 2, and large subunit ribosomal RNA". The stretch from base 1 to 122 matches the Rfam family "5.8S ribosomal RNA", at positions 35 to 154 of the family's 154-position model. The record is from RNAcentral.
GAUGAAGAACGCAGCGAAAUGCGAUAAGUAAUGUGAAUUGCAGAAUCCCGUGAACCAUCGAGUCUUUGAACGCAAGUUGCGCCCGAAGCCAUUAGGCCGAGGGCACGCCUGCCUGGGUGUCACACACCGUUACCCUCGCGCCAACGUCCAUCGUUGGCCGCGGCGCGGGGCGUGCGCUGACCUCCCGCGAGCGGGGUCUCGUGGUUGGUUGAAAAUCGAGUUCGCGGUCGAGGGUGCCGUGAUGAAAUGGUGGAUGGGCGACGCCCGAGGCCAAUCACGCGCGACUCUGUCCGGCUCGGACUCCUGGACCCCUUCGGCGUCUCCGGACGCUCUUUGGCGAGACCUCAGGUCAGGCGGGGCUACCCGCUGAGUUUAAGCAUAUCAAUAAGCGGAAGA